CAGGACGCUCAUACUACCAGACAGACUUCCGAAACGCGAUUGCGACAAUAGCGCACGAGAAAACGAAAUGUGCGCGUUUGGCACCGCUCCACUUCAUAUCGUAAAGCGCUGUCGCAUACAUCCCUAAGUAAUGAUUGCAGAUGGCCCAUAAGGCCACGCUGCGAGAUGGGUGUGUAAUCGCCUCGCAACGGUCCCAGAUAUGGCACCGGGAUGUUUCGUCUGGGUGCUGCAUCGAUCAGCCCACCAUACAGCUUUUUGAUUUCCGAUUUUCCUUACCGACCACUACGUCGGCAGCUGUGGUCAAUGACCCUUGGAUUUAGAUGGAUGUUCCUGCUGCGUUGCUAGCUAUGUGAAGCAAAAAAUUCGGCGGGCGCCGCGGGUUCGUACAUGGAAACUUUGCUCUUCAAAAAGGGCAACUUGAUGCGAAAGGUUAGUAAGAGAUAGAAUGGCAUGGAUCUAAUUUUAUGAAUGGUUGCUUGCUUAGUGGCGCUGGCAACGCUGUGGCUGCUAAAAGCGAGGAGUGUG
RNAcentral lists this long non-coding RNA (525 nucleotides) under Volvox carteri. RNAcentral's name for it is "long non-coding RNA (VCAR_LNC002060)". Lineage: Eukaryota; Viridiplantae; Chlorophyta; Chlorophyceae; Chlamydomonadales; Volvocaceae. The record is from RNAcentral.